This 361-nucleotide ribosomal RNA is filed under the name Peptostreptococcus russellii. Its description in RNAcentral is "bacterial SSU rRNA". It matches the Rfam family "Bacterial small subunit ribosomal RNA", at positions 1 to 354 of the family's 1533-position model. The record is from RNAcentral. Lineage: Bacteria; Bacillati; Bacillota; Clostridia; Peptostreptococcales; Peptostreptococcaceae.
UUUAACGAGAGUUUGAUCCUGGCUCAGGAUGAACGCUGGCGGCGUGCUUAACACAUGCAAGUCGAGCGCGGUCCCUUUGGUGCUUGCACCAAAGAAGACUGAGCGGCGGACGGGUGAGUAACGCGUGGGUAACCUGCCCUAUACACAUGGAUAACAUGCUGAAAAGCAUACUAAUACAUGAUAACGUACACUGAUGGCAUCUUCGGUGUAUCAAAGCGUUAGCGGUAUAGGAUGGACCCGCGUCUGAUUAGCUAGUUGGUGGGGUAAAAGCCUACCAAGGCCACGAUCAGUAGCCGACCUGAGAGGGUGAUCGGCCACAUUGGAACUGAGACACGGUCCAAACUCCUACGGGAGGCAGCAG